AACGAACGCUGGCGGCAUGCCUAACACAUGCAAGUCGAACGAGACCUUCGGGUCUAGUGGCGCACGGGUGCGUAACGCGUGGGAACCUGCCCUUAGGUUCGGAAUAACUCCCCGAAAGGGGUGCUAAUACCGGAUAAUGUCUUCGGACCAAAGAUUUAUCGCCUUUGGAUGGGCCCGCGUUGGAUUAGCUAGUUGGUAGGGUAAAAGCCUACCAAGGCGACGAUCCAUAGCUGGUCUGAGAGGAUGAUCAGCCACACUGGGACUGAGACACGGCCCAGACUCCUACGGGAGGCAGCAGUGGGUAAUAUUGGACAAUGGGCGAAAGGCUGAUCCAGCAAUGCCGCGUGAGUGAUGAAGGCCUUAGGGUUGUAAAGCUCUUUUACACGGGAUGAUAAUGACAGUACCGGGAGAAUAAGCUCCGGCUAACUCCGUG
RNAcentral lists this ribosomal RNA (433 nucleotides) under uncultured bacterium. Its description in RNAcentral is "partial 16S ribosomal RNA". It matches the Rfam family "Bacterial small subunit ribosomal RNA", at positions 29 to 507 of the family's 1533-position model. The record is from RNAcentral.